GCAGCUUAGGAUAACAUAAGUCCCAGGGCCUUCAAAGCCCUUAGCAGGAGUGUAAUCCUCCUAGCUCCU
This 69-nucleotide transfer RNA is filed under the name Bathylaco nigricans (black warrior). Its description in RNAcentral is "tRNA-Trp". Lineage: Eukaryota; Metazoa; Chordata; Actinopteri; Alepocephaliformes; Alepocephalidae. The record is from RNAcentral.